This 948-nucleotide long non-coding RNA is filed under the name Monodelphis domestica (gray short-tailed opossum). RNAcentral's name for it is "lncRNA (ENSMODG00000038374.1)". The record is from RNAcentral. Lineage: Eukaryota; Metazoa; Chordata; Mammalia; Didelphimorphia; Didelphidae.
UGAAGCUUUAAGAUCAUGAGUCAGGAAAACUCCAGUCCUGGGGGAAACAUUUCCUGUCAUUACUUUGAGAGGGCAGGAAGGGAAAAGGGGGUUUUGGGGGAGAUCUCAUAGAAAGGGAGAGAUGUUAGCUCUUUGCCAGGUACCAAGGUGGACCUUUGUUGGAGGAAAGGACCCCCACUCUUCCUUAAAGAACUCUCAGAUCUAUUAAGUUGAAAAACCGAGGGAAAUUCAGCAAAAGACAAAGCGGGGGUAGCACGGGGUUGGCCAAUAGGAUCUUUGGACCAAUUGGGGUUGUCUCUUCUCUCUCCUGCACGCAGGCUAAGGCUCCUUUCUCGAGGUCUGGAGCUCAAGCCCUGGCUGGCUUCUCCACUCGAAUCAGUGGCCAGACACACAUGGAACUCAAAAAACUCAAGGCUUUUGGAUUUUGAAUGGAGGAGGCCUAAGCGUCUGGGCUGAUGUUUCCAAACGCCAUUGGUUGCGGCAGGGCGAUUACAUCACCCCGGAGAGCUUUGGGAGGGAGAAAAGCUGGGAGGGAGGAAAUACUAAGAGAGGGAGAGAGAGAGGAGUGUCAGAGCCGUGCCUAGAGAGACACUGAGAUCGAGAGAAAGAGAAAGAAGACUGGAACGAGCGUUAGGAAUUGUCAUGGGCUCCCCAAAUGGGAGGCGAACCGAGUCCGUGGAAGGAAGAGCAACGGUGAAACUGGGGGAAACUCGACAAGCCAAACAGAACGGACUCUGGUGACCGAGGUCUGUGCUUUUAGGAAGAUCUCUUUGGCACCUGUGUGGAGUAUGGAGUGGAAAAUGGAAAAACUGGAAGAAGGAAGACACUUCUGCGAUCUCUUGAAACAGUCCAGGCUAGAGACCCUGCUGUUAUAUUUUCUUCUUCAUCCCAUCCUCAUCGUGAUCCAGAUACAGAAAUCUUCAUCCUGCAUUUGACUUUGGGAGGGCC